Molecule: unclassified non-coding RNA, 362 nt
Filed under: uncultured bacterium
Lineage: Bacteria
Description: contains 16S-23S intergenic spacer region
Source: RNAcentral
UCCAGCUUAAACGCUGGCAGUCUGAUAUGAAAAGCAACAUAUCAUGAGGGUUGCGCUCGUUCUCCCACUUAAGGGAACAUCUCACGACACGAGCUGACGACAACCGUGCAGCACCUGUGUAUCACUCUCGAAGAUCACACGUUUCCGUGCGCUUGAAGAUACAUGUCAAACCCUGGUAAGGUUCCUCGCUUAUCGUCGAAUUAAACCACAUGCUCCACCGCUUGUGCGGGUCCCCGUCAAUUCCUUUGAGUUUUAGUCUUGCGACCGUACUCCCCAGGCGGAAUGCUUAUCGCGUUAGCUGCGGCACAUACGAGGGUCGAUACUCGCGUAUGCCUAGCAUUCAUCGUUUACAGCGUGGACUA